GACGGGGGGGGCAAGUGUUCUUCGGAAUGACUGGGCGUAAAGGGCACGUAGGCGGUGAAUCGGGUUGAAAGUGAAAGUCGCCAAAAAGUGGCGGAAUGCUCUCGAAACCAAUGCACUUGAGUGAGACAGAGGAGAGUGGAAUUUCGUGUGUAGGGGUGAAAUCCGUAGAUCUACGAAGGAACGCCAAAAGCGAAGGCAGCUCUCUGGGUCCCAACCGACGCUGGGGUGCGAAAGCAUGGGGAGCGAACAGG
This 251-nucleotide ribosomal RNA is filed under the name uncultured bacterium. Its description in RNAcentral is "partial 16S ribosomal RNA". It matches the Rfam family "Bacterial small subunit ribosomal RNA", at positions 524 to 776 of the family's 1533-position model. The record is from RNAcentral.